RNAcentral lists this small RNA (78 nucleotides) under Klebsiella sp. RIT-PI-d. Its description in RNAcentral is "Repression of heat shock gene expression (ROSE) element". It matches the Rfam family "Repression of heat shock gene expression (ROSE) element". Rfam says of the family: This family represents a 5' UTR cis-regulatory element found in heat shock mRNAs and is known as the ROSE (repression of heat shock gene expression) element. The record is from Rfam by way of RNAcentral. Lineage: Bacteria; Pseudomonadati; Pseudomonadota; Gammaproteobacteria; Enterobacterales; Enterobacteriaceae.
UCCGGGAACCGCGACCUGUCCAUGACGGAAGGUCAGUACCAAAAUUCUCGCUGAUUUCAGGAGCUUUUAUUAUGCGUA